Molecule: non-coding RNA, 932 nt
Organism: Lolium perenne
Lineage: Eukaryota; Viridiplantae; Streptophyta; Magnoliopsida; Poales; Poaceae
Source: RefSeq, a predicted model, not a curated record
UUUUUCCCCAUGGCGUGAUCCUCACUGUCCCAACCACCGCACCACCCUCCCCAUGUGAGCCUCCCCUCUCCUCAUCUUUAUCCCUGGACCACAGCAUCCCCAGCUGGCUCCCUUCCUCGCCCACGUCUCUUCCUCCCCUCCUUUCUUCCUCUCCAAGAAGAACCAGAAGCAAGGGAGAAACCCCAUGGCCGCCGCAGUUCACCGUCGACCCGCCGAUUCCGUCUACCCCACGUCGUUCUGAGGGCAUCGGCGGGUGCGCCUCGACGUCCUCGACCUUCCAGUACCUCCAAUCGAGACGGGGGCGCUCUAAAUCGUCGCCACCGACCUCCUCCCCCAACUCCGUCUGCGUCACGUUGACGAUGAUGGCGUCGCCAUCCAUCCCUCCCCGGCCUCUCCGACCAUCUCCACGCGUCCCUGAUCCUCGACGUCGGCGUCUCUCCGACGAGCUUCCGGCGACAGCACCACCACCAAGCGGUCAGCGCCGACGAGACGAGGCGAACGCGCCUAACCUCGCUUCCUGGGGGCGCCUGCAACGCCGGCGCGCGCGACGUCUGCCGUGGUGACCACCUCUGUCUGGAACGCGAGCGGCAUCUGGGCGUGCGCGCAUGGUUCGCCACGCUGGCGGCCACGUCGUCGCCUGGGCCCCGCUCGUCAGCGAACUUGGGUGGGAACCCGCCCGCAUUUGCUUCUUCCCGGAUAGGAUCGCGAAGUGGUGAUGUGAGAUACGACAAGUUCUCCGGAUGUCCCUCGGCAAGCUUUAACAGGCAAGCAUUUUCCCCUAUACUCCUGCCCCUGCAGAAGUCGCUCACCUAUUUUAUUUUGCCUUCUCCCUUAUGCUAUCCUUGAGUUGCGUUCUUGUCACGUGUCCCUUCCACUUGUUACUUCAAGCAGCCUAUAUUGCCACCACCACCUCCUACGGCUGUUGUUUGGUU